UAUCUUCUGUGGUGUGCGUAUUCAGACCGGCGAAACUUGAGCCUAGUCUUUGUUUGCUAGGGGACUGACCGCGGUAUUGUUGUGCAGACCCACCUCGGUGGGGAGCCUGAUAUACCGUCUGCUGUACCCACUUGAACCAGCGGUUCAAGUUAAAAGUCUGUAACGGCAUCGCGGUUGAUAC
RNAcentral lists this non-coding RNA (181 nucleotides) under Gammaproteobacteria bacterium. Its description in RNAcentral is "6S RNA". It matches the Rfam family "6S / SsrS RNA". Rfam says of the family: E. coli 6S RNA was the first non coding RNA to be sequenced, but its function was unknown until recently. It consists of 184 nucleotides that fold into an extended hairpin structure with a large single-stranded internal bulge. The 6S RNA specifically associates with RNA polymerase holoenzyme containing the sigma70 specificity factor. The record is from RNAcentral. Lineage: Bacteria; Pseudomonadati; Pseudomonadota; Gammaproteobacteria.